Molecule: long non-coding RNA, 2260 nt
Organism: Bos taurus (domestic cattle)
Lineage: Eukaryota; Metazoa; Chordata; Mammalia; Artiodactyla; Bovidae
Source: Ensembl
AGAGUGGUAAGGAAGACUUUAUUCAGUGGAGGCUACUGGAAUGGGAUUUUAUGUAAGGGUCAGAGAGUGGCCUCAAUUCCAAAUACAAGGAAAAGUAUAUUUCAUGGCCAAGGUGCAGGGUGGAGGUCAGUGGAUGAAAAAUUACUAAGAGGAAACCUCAGGGGGCAGGGGGAACUGGCUAAAUGACUGCAGAGAAUUCUCAAUGAAGGCAGGCCAGAGUGGCCAGACAUAAUGUGGGAGAUGCUGCAGGUGGAGGAACCAGAUUAGAAUACGGAGGGUGUUCAGACAUAGAAGAUGGGAGACUCUGGCUAACCUAACUUAGCAGGAUUCUUGCUAGAACUGGCUGCACAAGGAAGCACACAGUCAGAAGGUGCAGUCAGAAAGCUUGGAAGUGCCUGCCCAGAGUUUGGUCAACCUUUGUCCCCUCGCCCCACCCCACCACCUGGAGUGAUAAGUGAGCCAGUUCUCCUCUGAACUCCUGUCGUUCAAACUUCACCUCUCAUAACAUAUUUCACUUUUUGUUUUUACUGCAUUAUUUCAUAUUUUUUGUUUUUUUCUACAAGAAAUAGCACGUUAUUUUUUUCUGAACCCAAUAUAGACGGCUAAGCCCCCACCUACUAGAAUGGUGGAUUAUUGCAAUCUGAAUAGUCACUGUAGGGUCUAUACCCUCUUUGGGAAAUGUUUCCCUAAUACCCACAGCCAACCAGUUUCAAAGAAAUCUACUCUCAGUCCCCCAGAUGGACUCCCUCUGCCUUCUGCGUGCUCUGCUGGCUUGCUCACCACUGUGCAGGUGCCUUUGCUGUCCCCACCUCUGAAAUGCUGGCACUCUUCUGGCCCAGUCACUACUAUGGACCCGUAUGUGUUGUCUCUUUCCCUCACCCGCUGGAAAGGACCACAGGGGCAAAGGCCUUGACCACCUCAGCUUCCUCCCCGAAGGAGGCACUCAAUGCUUCACUGUGCAGUGAAUGGUGGUGCUUGGCACAGACCUGGUUUGACCAGGUGGCACAAAAGGUGAAUGAACGCUUGGCAUUUGAGCCUUUGCCACCUCCCCCUACCACCUCUAGCUUGAACCCAUGCCAGUCAGGGAAGGGGUCUAGUCUCUCGACUCCAAAGCCACCCCCCCCCACAUUGCUUUCUGGGCUGGAACCACAGCAGGCUCUGGGGAUGAAAACAGAAGAUGUGGCCCUGCUCCAGCCAUGUCCACAGCCCAGUGGAAAACAGAGGCAAACUGACCAUUCCAAAGGAACAGACAGAGCUGGUGGAGGGAAACAGGGGCUGCGGGCAUAGGGAGCAAGGAAUUGCCUGGACAGGGUGUGAGUUCAGGGAAGGCUUCCCUAAGGAGGGAAAAUCUGAGCAUCAUGGUCGGGGGGAGUCUGCCUGGAGAACAAGGGCCCAGAGGGCUGUUGGGAUUAGGAGGGGUACCACCAUCAGUGACCCUGGAGGCAAGACUGUCAGAAGCCUCAAGUGAUAGGCUAAGGGACCCAAGGAGCCACUGGAGGACACACACUAUCGAGUUGAGAACAAGAGGGACCAAAGGCAGGGAGACAAGUGCAGGGAGCUAGUCUCAGUUCUGGAAAGAAUCAGCUCUUGGGCCUAGUCUGCUGGGGGAGGGGCUGGCCCCAGAGCUGCCCAGCCGGCUUGGGGACAGGGAACUGGUUUUCCUGGCAGCGAUGAGCUAACAGGAUCUGGUUCCCUCUGAGACGCCCCAGCUUCAGCUCUCUUGCGCCCUCCCCCUACAUUUGGGCCUGGCCUUGGUUUCUGGCACAGCUGCCAAGUUUUGGUACCGCCCACCCACUCCCUGCUGGCUGUACUGGCCGGCCCAGCUCCCUAAUUGCUGGGUGGGGAGCUCUUCUGCAGAGCUGGGACACCAAAAAGUAGACCCCAGCCACUGUGGACCACAUGGGUAUCCAGCCUGACCAGCUCCAGCCCAUGGGGUGAGCCAGGCUUCAGGCUAGCACUGAGCUCUGGAGGGCCCUUCGAGGAACCAUUGACCCAGAAAGCUUGAUUGGGUGGGGUGUGUAAAAUGAGUAUCAAGGCCUGUGAAGAAUAGACCUGCCUAACCCAGGUGUCCCUACUUUCCCUUCCCAGGCAGAGGACCUGGCUCAGGGCUGAGCCCAGAUAGCUCUCAGCAAGGCCCAGGGAUCUGACCUGGCUACAAGCUCUAGUCAAGCCUGGCCAGGACUAAAAGGGGCUGAGAAGGGUGGGAAAGAAUGGAACAGAGGGAGGAGCCCCAACCCAGAAGGCCCAAACACACCCCCUU